CAAGAGCGUAUGUAAAAGUUGUUGCAGUUAAAAAGCUCGUAGUUGAACCUUGGGUUUGGUUGGCCGGUCCGCUUUUUUGCGAGUACUGGAUUCAACCGAGCCUUUCCUUCUGGCUAACCAGUCGUUUCGGCGGCUGGCGAACCAGGAUUUUUACUUUGAGAAAAUUAGAGUGUUCAAAGCAGGCAUUAGCUUGAAUAUAUUAGCAUGGAAUAAUAGAAUAGGACGUUAUGGUUCUAUUUUGUUGGUCUCUAGGACCAUCGUAAUGAUUAAUAGGGACGGUCGGGGGCAUCAGUAUUCAGUUGUCAGAGGUGAAAUUCUUGGAUUUACUGAAGACUAACUACUGCGAAAGCAUUUGCCAAGGACGUUUUCAUUAA
RNAcentral lists this ribosomal RNA (374 nucleotides) under uncultured eukaryote. RNAcentral describes it as "partial 18S ribosomal RNA". It matches the Rfam family "Eukaryotic small subunit ribosomal RNA", at positions 592 to 976 of the family's 1831-position model. The record is from RNAcentral.